This is a long non-coding RNA of Mus musculus (house mouse), 5523 nucleotides long. RefSeq annotates it as predicted gene, 54109. The transcript has 2 exons. The record is from RefSeq and is a predicted model, not a curated record. Lineage: Eukaryota; Metazoa; Chordata; Mammalia; Rodentia; Muridae.
CCCAGCCAUUACCUACGAGAGUGCUCUCCGUUACCUUCCACCUUCCCCUCCUCCAGCCUCACCAUCACAUAUCUACCUUGUAUCUAUAGAUUUCCCCAUUGUGACUAUUUCCUAUACAUGGAAUCAGACAGCACACCUGAGUUCUAGCAUCUUCCAACAGCUCCAACUUCUGGAAGGGAUGGGGGUCACCAAAGUGUUGGGGCAGGUAGACCAGUUACGGAUGUGACUUUUGUAGGCUGACAGCCCUACAACCUUCAUCCACAGCCCAGACCUAUGCCUAGGGGGAGAGAAGGGCUUACCCUCUCCAGCCUUGUGCUCUUGGUCUGUGAAAUGGAGAGACAGCCUUUCUCUCCCAGGGAUGGAGCAGUUCGUGACAAAUGUCUAGUCAGGUGCCUGCUGCUCAGUAUAUCAUAGUUUACGGAUGACAGGGGUCCAUGCAAUCCAAUGCUUGUUUGAUCUUGACCUAGGCACCUAUUAAGGGUGAAAUGCUCUUCUAGAUGCUGGAAACAGUGAAAGGGACAUGAUCCUGUCCAUGCAAACCAUUCAUCUAGUGCAGAGACAGACAAGUUAGCUCAUCAACAGGACACAUACAGGGUGAGAUAGAUCAGGAAAGACAACAGCACAGCACAGCAAUGAUGGAGGAAGCCUGCUACUUAGAUGGUGUCAGACUUAUUUCUGUACUGAGAGUAGAGCCCAGGACUUUGCAUAUGAUAAGUGCUCUGUGACUGGCCUAUCUCCCCAGACCUGUCACUGAUUUUGAAAAUGGCCUAGCCUGUGCUCAAACUUGGGACUCUUCUGUCUUGGCCACCAGAGUAGCUGGGAUUGCAGGUGUGCAGCACCACGUCUGGCUACCACAAUGGCUACUUUGAACAGAAGGGCUUGCUGCUACCCUCCCCACAGAAGAGAAUGUCUUCUGCAAACUGCAAUAUGAGAUAGAGUGAAGGGCUCUCAGACCCCAAGCCGGGGCAGGGGACUUAGCAUCUAUGACUUCAUGUGUUGGGUUACCAAUUUAUUUCUAAAGUUGGGCCACCUGGCCAGCAACCACCACUAGAGAGCACUCUGUAGAGUCCCUGAAACUCAGAGUGAGCCAGCUUUGGCCCAAGGUGGUGCAGUGAGAAGCAAGAAGACUUUCUUGUGUUCCAAGCUGGCUUCCAGCCAGGUCAGAAUGAAACUUGCAUUGACAGGAGACAAGACCACAGAGUUUAAAAUGCCCAGCAGAGAUCUGGGUUCUGAUGAGCCUGUAGCCCCAGCUGCUGUUGGGUGCAUACCAUUCACACUCUGAGCUUGCCCGUGAAGCUCAGCACAGAGCCCUUCCAACCUCAGGCUCCCUACUGCUGCAUCGCCUCUGACCCCAGCCCAGCAGCUCAGCCAAUUUGCUAUGAAUGGUCACAUAACUCACCCUGCACUGUUUCUGUUUUUUAUUGUGUGUGCUUCUUCUGUGUGGAUGGGCGUGGCUAUGUAUGCCGUGGCAGAUGCUGGGUAGAAGACAGCUAACAGUCAGCUCCCUCCUCCUACCAUGUAGGUCCCCAGGAGCAAACUCAGGGGAUCAGUCUUAGCAACAAACACUCUUAUCCACUGAGCCAUCUUUCACCUGUUUCCUGGCUUUAAAAAGCUCAAUGCUGGGAUUCAAAACUAGGGCCUUUGAAGUACUAGGCAAAUGUCAAUGUCCUACAUCUGUGUUAUAUCCCCUGUCCUCGUAUUUUUGUUGUUUUCUUUUCUUUUGUUUUUCUAAGACUAGGUUUCUCUGUGUAGCCCUGGCUGUCCCGGUACUCGAUCUGUAGACCAGGCUGGCCUCGAACUUGAAGAUUUAUUGGCUUCUGCCUCCUGAGUGCUGACACUGAAGUUAUAUACCACACCACCAUCCAGCUGCAAUAGGUGCUCAUAACUGCCGAGCCAUUUCUCCUGUUUAAGCUUUGACUUUUUAAUCCUCCUGCCUCGGUUUUCCAAGUACUAGUAUUACAGGCAUGUGCCAUCACACCUGGCUUUUUGCCCGACUGUCCUGAAGUCGGUUUCUUUGUCAUCUCCCCAUUCAUUUAAUUAUGACAUUAGUAAGGCAUCCAUUCAUGCACGUUAUCUGUCAUUCAUUCAGCAGACGCUCCCUGAGCACGUCCUCUGUGCCGGGCAGUGUUUGGGCCAGUCCUUGGUAAAAUGCCAGUCUUGUGGAAAGUGUGCAAAUGUGCACAUUGCUGUUUUCUUCCUGAGAGCUGCUUUUCUCCCCCCUCCCCCUCGGUGUGUGUUUGUGGUUGUGGUUUGUUUGCUUUUCUUUCUUUUUUGAGUCAGGAUUUCUCUGAGUAGCUCUGUGCUGCCCUGGAACUUGCUCUGUAGAGCAGGCUGGACUCUGCCUCUUAAGCGCUGGGAUUAAAGGUGUGUGCUCUGCCAUGCCUGGCUUGUGAAUAGAGAACUGGUUUUCAUAAAGGCUAGGUGGGUUGAAUGCACACUGAAGCCCAAACAUUUCUGUGUAUAGUUGCAUGCACAUAACCAUACGUGUUGGAGGUGUGAUAAAGCCUUCCUCCCUGGAAGCAGGUGCCAGUGUUUGGAGAGGGCAGUGUAAGAAGCUCACAGCCCAGGAGCUGUAACCAAGCUUCAGCCCCAAGAAGUCACCUGCCCCGGAUACCAUGCUGGUUCUGCUUCUCCAGGAAGUUUCCUUCUUUCAUCCUGAUGGAGUGAAUCUCUGUCUUCUACAGUCCCAGAGAAGUUUGCCAACACUUCAGAGCACCCCCUGGCUCUUCCCCUUACAGUGGGGUUGGUUAGAAAGCUAGAUGUCUGUCUGUCCACUGGCCUUUCAGGAUCCCUAAAGCAUUUAGAGUAGAAUCCUCCCAAAGCCCCGCUAGGCCUGCCAGGGUGAGCCUCCGAUUGGUCUGAAACUCUGAGUUCCAGACCCAGGGAAUCCUACCUCUGCUCGAACCCAUCAUGAUCUUUCCCGCUUGCUGCUUUGGGAGCCACUGGAAUCUCUGCCUGGGACAGCGUCCACUGUCCGUCUUUACCCACACACUCUCAACUUCUUUCUCUGGACUUCUAUUCUCUAUGAUUUGCUUCAGAUGUGGCUGGGUUACCUCCUUUGGGAAUGCCUGUUCCUUGCUGUCCUGACUACCACAGGGUAGGCACUCUGUAAGUGUGCAGGAUUUUCACUGGCCUCUCGUGCCCUGAGGGUAAUGGGUAAGGGUGAGGGCAGCUUUAGCUCAGACAUCAGCCUGGAGGUGAGCAUUUGCUUGGGGCUCUUGGUUAGAUUCCUAGUAGCACAGACCUGCAGUAGUGAUGUGGGGGGAAGACGGCAGGAGGGGAAAGCCUUUUUCUGCUCUCCGUUCCUGCAGUGCCAUGCCCUGUCCACUCAGGCUGUGUUCACACCAGACUGUAGUGGGUUAUGAUUUAUACAGUCUCCUAGAAGCCACUGCCUGGAGCACAGUUAAGGCUGGCUUCUCUGUAGCUGCUAAUGAAAGACUAGGAAAAUAGUUUGCAAUAGGUUGGACAAUCUAGGUUCCAACCUUGCCUCUGUCACUUCCUAGCCACUGGGCUGUUUCUUUAUCUGUAAAAUGGAAUUGAGAACAUACCUACUCUGAAGGUUGUUGCCAGAAAGUUGCUGCCUUUCUUAAUCACUCACUACAUGAGAUGGGUUUUGCUAUAUUGCCCAGGUUGGUCUGAAACUCAUGGUUUCAAGGGAUUCUCCUGCCUCAGUUGCCCCAAGAAGCCAGAGACUAUAGGCGCUUGAUGCCUGGCACACAGUACACUGUCAGCAUCAAGGAACUUGAGAUUUUAGCUAGCAGGGAUCCUGCUCUUAUAAACCCAGAAACCAUGUUUUGUAGUAUUUGUUAAGAAAAACUCAAAAAGUUUGUGUAGUUCAUUUUUAAGUCACAGGCCAUGAAGACACCCCACCCCACCCCCACACACACACAUUUAAUGAGUGGUUGAGGAAAGGCACAGAACUAGGGAGGUUCAGAGGCACAAAGACCCUCGCAAUCCGCCUCCUGGGCCAGUGAGGAGAACCAGACUAAUCUGCAACUGCAACGCAGCUAGGCACAUGGCAGGGCUGCCCAUAAGAAGAGUGUAUCUCAGGGCAGGAGUUUGGGGGGUGCCAUGGAAGAGGCAGAGUGCUUGAGGAAGCCUGGGAAGGAUAAAAGGCAAGAAGACCACCGCUCACUCCCCUCUGGAAAGUGACACUCACUGGGGUGACAACCCCCAGACUGAUCUCUGGGGCUGGGAUCUGGAUGAAUGCAAACAGCAGACCAGAUCUCUUCUCUAUCAGACCUGUUCAGGGUACAUAUCAGACCUUCCACAGAGCUCCUGAGCCUCUGGAUGGGUGGACCAUCCAAAGGAAGACACAGGAGACAAGCAUUAACAGAUUGCCUACCCUUUCACACACACCUGCUUCCCUCGUCCAUCGGUGCUGCAGCUAAGGGAUAGGAGCCUGGGAAUCAAGCCCUUGUCUUUGGGGAGGGGAGGGGUAGUCUCCAGAUCCCUCUGGAGGUGUGGUCUCUGGAGACUGCAUCUUCAGCCUGUUGGUUGGGACUAUAUGAUCCCCCCUUAUUCUUCGGAUAAGUGUUCUAAGGGGGGUGACCCUCUGACUUCUAGACUGUUACCCCCUCACACCACGGAGAAACCCCUGGAAAGGAGCUUUAAGGAGUGAGAACUCAAGAGAUAAAGAUGUAACUGGAAGGAAGCUUGGGUCCUAAAAGAUCCUGGAUUCUCCUGGUUACUCUUGGGGAACUCAGCCAAGCUUAGAGUGGCCUCAUUCAGGUCCAGAGUCCAGGACCGAGAUGUGGGUGCCUGGCCCUGGGGGGGGGGGGCUACCGGCAAAGGGGUCAAGCUGAGGGAGCAGGCGGGGCAUCCGUAAUGGAGGGUGCUGAGUGGGGUGGGAGGGCACAGGGUCCUGCCGGUGCAGAGUGGGGGGAGCGGCCCCCAGGGAGGGGCAUGCUAUGUCUUUAAGAGCUGCCUGAGCGCAGGUUGCAGCUGCCUGGCCAGCCCGAGAGAGACAGCGGAGAUUCAUUACCCGUCGACACAAUGACCAUUGAUGGCCCCGUGGCGUUAUUCAAAUCCAGUACCAAUUGCAGCCGAGCCCCUUUCUCCGCGCCAGGCCCGUAUUGUUGGAGCGGCCCACUAAAAGCCCGCCCCGGCCCCAAGCCGCCAGAGGCGCCCGCUUGGGUUCAGCCCUGCGCCUCGCCAGCACGCCGGCUCCCAGUCCGGCUCCCUGGGCGCUGCAGGUGACCCGGCGGCACAUUCCGGCGCUCCCCGCUGCCCAGGCUACCACCACCCGCGACUCAGCCACAAGGAAGCAGAGAGCGCCUGAGCCGUCCCCCGAAACAACAAAAAACAAACAAACCCGAAAUCAACCCGCAUAUCCCAAACCAGCCAACCAACCCCUCCCACAAGCUCCUCUGGACCGACUGAUGGGCUGUGCUUCCUCCCGCGGCUGCCAGAAACCCAGAAGCUGGGGAAUGAUGCGCUCCAGCCGGGCAAUCGCUACGGCUUUGGAAAUACGAACUUGGACAAAUCAAUCCUUUUCAUUAAAAACAACAACAACAACAAAAA